UGGAGGGGAGAGGAGGCGGGGGACUGAGCCACCGAGGACUAGGCGGCCAGCGAGCAGAGGCGGUUAGCAUCAAAUUCUCCAUCCAAUUCAUCAGAUUGGGAGCCAUUUUGUCCGGAAUCAGCUGGAGCAGAGAGGUACGUUCAAGGGCGAGGCGUCGAUCUAUAAUUCCUAACGAAUUUAAGGGUAUGCCGUGUGAUUAUCUGCGUAGUUUGUUUCCGUCUUGCUAGCGUUG
Molecule: long non-coding RNA, 232 nt
Filed under: Setaria viridis
Lineage: Eukaryota; Viridiplantae; Streptophyta; Magnoliopsida; Poales; Poaceae
Description: long non-coding RNA (SVIR_LNC005153)
Source: RNAcentral